AUGAAUAAAGUAAAGUUUUCCAGGGUGUUUAAACAUACAGCUGAGUUAAUUCCACAUUCAGAGUUUCUUUUUUUUUUUUUUUUUUUUUUUUUUUUUAGUUUCAACUCAGCUGAACUGUUACUCAAAGGAUGGAUAUAUUUGUGUUCAUAUACUGGUCGUUUUGGAAAAGUAUGUUACAUUAAGGAAGCAAUCUUCAUUUUCUGUUGUUUUUCGUUGGAGAAGAACUUUCCAUGUAGGGAGGUAGGUGACAAGCACACAGAGCUCGCUGCUAAACUACUGCAACCAGAAAGGCUGUGGUAAAUGAAUGACGUUUGAGCGAGGUGUGAAAUGUGAAGGUACAAAAUUAACUGGUAAGAUAAUUACUGUUCUAAUUCUGCAUAAACAAGCGUUUUGAAAAUCAUUAAUAGUUCAGGGAAAUAAUGUUAGUGAUUAAAUAAGGUGGUUUGCAUCACUGAGCACAACUAAGCUGCUUUAAUUACAUUUGAAAGCAAGG
RNAcentral lists this long non-coding RNA (493 nucleotides) under Coturnix japonica (Japanese quail). RNAcentral's name for it is "lncRNA (ENSCJPG00005008248.1)". Lineage: Eukaryota; Metazoa; Chordata; Aves; Galliformes; Phasianidae. The record is from RNAcentral.